GCGCCCGUAGCUCAGUUGGAUAGAGCGUCUGGCUACGAACCAGAAGGUCGGGGGUUCGAGUCCCUCCGGGCGCGCCA
RNAcentral lists this transfer RNA (77 nucleotides) under Acidobacteriota bacterium. RNAcentral describes it as "Acidobacteria bacterium (groundwater metagenome) tRNA-Arg". It matches the Rfam family "tRNA". Rfam says of the family: Transfer RNA (tRNA) molecules are approximately 80 nucleotides in length. Their secondary structure includes four short double-helical elements and three loops (D, anti-codon, and T loops). Further hydrogen bonds mediate the characteristic L-shaped molecular structure. tRNAs have two regions of fundamental functional importance: the anti-codon, which is responsible for specific mRNA codon recognition, and the 3' end, to which the tRNAs corresponding amino acid is attached (by aminoacyl-tRNA synthetases). tRNAs cope with the degeneracy of the genetic code in two manners: having more than one tRNA (with a specific anti-codon) for a particular amino acid; and 'wobble' base-pairing, i.e. permitting non-standard base-pairing at the 3rd anti-codon position. Lineage: Bacteria; Pseudomonadati; Acidobacteriota. RNAcentral also lists the same sequence under 2 other names. The record is from RNAcentral.